GACCUCUUUGCUGAGUGAGGACGAAGAGCGAUAUGUCUCCUCACCUGAGGGUGGUGAUAGAGAGAUGAGACACAGACCCCACUCAGCACCACUGAGAUAUGUGUUUGGAAUCACUGAGGAUUCUGUCUUCAACAUGGUCCAGAGCGGCCAGUCGCAGAGUGACAUCGUACUGUCGUCCAGUUGGAGUAGACGGGAGAAAUACAGACCUGUCAAAAAACCAACGGACACCAGGUUUAUGAUGGGUAUUGUAGAGUUGGUUAUGAACCUUCUCAACUCCAGAUUGGCUGAGCUAAUGCGAAGUCUCAGUCAGGGAACUCUAGGUCCGCUGUCUGGUAGUAUCUCAGCAAGUCAGCAGUUUGCCCAAGAGAUGCUAAGCAUGGUGUCUGCUAAGAUGUAUUCCCAUGCCAUAGAGCAUAUUGCGCACGGCAACAAGUCUCCCCUUGAGUUAGAGAGGGAGCUUGAGGCCAUAUUGGGUCCUCUGGCUGGACAGGUUAUAGUCAUCAUCAUAGAUAGCAUCUUCAAGGCUAAAGCCAACGGAGGAAACAAGGGGCGAGCGACCAGCCCCUUUACCUAUUUUCUCACUGCCAUUUCGGCAGAAGUACAAAGCCUAGUUGUUCAGAGAUCGGCUAGUAGACCGUCCACCAGACUGUCCAACAACGACCCACUGCUGAACAUUUCCAAGUCAAAGGUCUUAAGAUCAGUUCUGCUCAAAAUGGCAGAACUCUUUGGUCAAGGUCCAAGUGAAACCUGUCUAGUUCAACUCUCCACCAUGUCCAUGACAGAUCUGUCAUCAUCUAUUUCUGACUCCACCUUGAAGCAGUUGUGUUGUAGCUCUGCUGUUGCUGCAGCAACUGUCUGUCAAGCAAUCAAAACGGAGCUCGAGAGCCAGAGACCUACCAACCUGUCAGCCAGAGACCUACUAUCGUCUCUGGUAGAGACCAUUGAGGACAUGGAUAUCUCUGACGUCCUCCAGGGCCCGUCGGCCAUUUUGGAGGAGGCUGCUAUGAUAAAGCACCCAGAGAUGUCCACCUCGAUAAUAUACAGGUCUUUGCUUCUCGACUCAUCUCUCGCCUCCUCUAACAUGGUCACUGAGAGCAUUAUCUUCAACAGUCCACGCCCAUCAGAGGAGAAUGUGAGUAUUCAGAAGGUGCUCCCUGCUGAUAAAGUUGACAUCCUCCAUGGUCAACCAGUGGAGGAGUAUAUCGUCAAAGCUGAGCAAUGCAUCACUCAGGUCAUUCAGGAUGCAGCUGUCACAUAUACUGGCGUGCUGGAUAAAACCGACACUUGUGGGAAACUGUCGGAAGUUCUGUCUGUCUGUGUUUCCGCGGAGAAUAUUGAGGAAGCAUCCUCUGAUCUAUUUGGUGGAAUUAUUUCCGACCUGCAUGAGGUAUCUGAGGUCAAUAAGGCCUCCAUGCGUACGAAAUCAGGUCGCAAAAUGUUCUGGGUGGAAGUGAGUUCAGGUUCCCAGAAGAUUUAUACCAAAACCCUGGACAAACUGAGGAAGCUUUUCACCUCUCACCUUCUCACUGACGGAAAAAAUACUCCUGUGCAAAUUGAGCUCUAUGACACUGGACUACUUGUAACUGAGACCACUGUGGAGGUAUCUCCUGUACAGAAGACAGACAGUAAUACCUCUUCUAUGUCCUCAGCCUCAGCCCACCAGCUCACCCUCGACACCUGCACUAAAGGGGUCAUCAAACAGGUGAUCUCGGUGCUGAGGUUGGAGAAUUCAAAGGAAGACCGCUUCGCUUCCGUUGGGGAGAACACGUCAAAUGCGUCCUUCGACUUCAACCAGAAGUUGGACUCGAUAAUUUCGAAAUUGGAGGACCUCAGCAUUUUGAGUGACGUGACGUCAGCCGACGUGAGGCCAUUCUCAGAGCUGCUAGCGAAGCCAACUGUUCUUUGCCACAGAGCAUGCCUAGCAUCACCUUCUCACACCAUGUGGUUUCUACAACUGAAGAUAUAGUGAAUAUGGUCAUGCAAGACCUUGAAAGUGUAUCCCAGUACACAGUGGAGGACGCAGACUCCUUCCCACUAGGAGAGAAAAAGCUGCAGUCCCAACUCAAUCCCAGAGUUGUCUUUGACAACUCAUUUUUUGCUGCUCAAAUCAUGUACCACAGAGUAAAGGAUAGACUGAACGUCUUUUUGUCUUUUCCACCCGUGUCAGUCACCACAGCCAAAGAUGUGCUGGACUUCACCCCUGUGGAGACACUCAGAUGUUCGAAGUCCCCUGACACUGCUCUUGUUAAGGACAGGAGCCGCCCGCCGUCUGUGAGAAGUGAGAAGCCAUUUUCAAAAGUCAGUUUGACUAAAAGGUUUAAAGCCCUUGUGUCUUCGAGUGGCUCCUCCACAGACCACCAUGUAAUUGACACAUGCAGUGAGGAUGUCAGUCUGCCCACCAGGAGUAUGUCAGUUGUGAGCGACACCAGUUUGAAGAGAGCCUCUCCUCUCCAUGGUUGUGGAUUGAGUGAAAGUUGUGAACCUCUUAUGGCUCUACAAGAUGGAACAGUGGCAUUCAGCCAAGAAGGCUUUAGCAAAACUGCAAAGAAGACACUCAGCUUGAUCCUAAAUGUGAUCAAGUGCAGAUUGGCCAACUCUGAGAGUUCAUCUGUUGGGAAGAAUGCAAGUGAGGAGUGUCUGAUAGCCACUAACAUGUUAGACUCUCUACUGGAGAGCCUUGACCUGUUGCCUGACAUGAGCACUGCCGAUGAGAUCACAAGGACAGAAUGCCAUACCUCUAACGCAAUGGACAAGACAGGUUCACAGUCAGCGCUUGUGAGCCAACAAGAAAUGAACAUAUCUGACACCGGUAUCAUAGUGAAAACUAUAAUGGACACAUUGAAGACAGACGACCCAGAGAUGACUUCAGCAGAAGAAAAUCUGGAUAGGCUUCUGUCAAUUGAAGCCCUUCAAGAUGCGUCUGGCAACCUGAUCGCAAAGGUCCAUGGUCUCAUUCAGGAGAUAACCAUAAGACGCCAGCUUCAAUCCAUGACUGGCCACAGAAGCCUCUCUCAACCAGCGCUGCCAAAUCCAGCACUGAGGAAGCUGUCAAAGGACGAUGCGUCAGAGCUCGUUUACAGCUUUGCCCACACUUCUGUUAGCAGACUCCUGGGGCAGUGUUUGGGUAGGCCUAUGCCACCCACUGCUGACAGGGUUUUGGAUCAGGUCAUCAAGUUGAUGACAGACAUGGUGAUGGACAGUCUGACUGAUCUGUCCAAGUCUGCAAUGGAGGGUGGUAAGUGAAAGUACCUCUUUUCAUCUGCAUAGGACUUCAUUGUAACAUGAUGCUCAAUACAUUGCGUUUUAUGAUGUGAACUUUGCUGGUUGUGUCCAAAAUGGCACCUUCUUCCAUGUUUAGUGCACUACUUUUGACCAGAGCCAGACCCUAUGGGCCCUGUUCAAAAGUUGUGCACUAUAAAGGGAAGAGAAUGCCUUUUGGAACGCAGUGACUGCUUUCCAUUGUUGCGUCCUCUUCUCCCAGUUAUUGUACCCAGGUCAGUCACACCAGCUUGCUCUUCUUAUUUAGACACCAGCAAUGCCGCAAGUGACAUCACUCAUGGCGUUGUGGCUGACCUUAAUGCUACUGAGGAAUUCCCCGCCAGGGGCCUUAGCCCGGCUGAUGUAAAGGCUGACGGCAUGGCCCGCCUUCCCUCUGCCAGAGGGGAAGAGACUAAGAAGAACAGGAAGUGGCGCUUCCUACCCAAAAUUGGCAAGAUUCCAAAGAUCAGGAUGAAGCUGUUCAAGACAAAAGGGGAACCGAAGAGCCACCCUGAACAGGAUGCGCUGCCUACCAAAUGUCUCAGAGAGACUCGUAUUUCACAGAAUGCUGAGUGUGAGGUUCCAGAGGUUCCAUCCACUUCCCCACCCAAGGAGGACCUGACAACCACACUGGCCCCUGCUCCCCAGGAGUCCCAGUCCCGUAAACGCCCUCUCAUAGUCAGGGUGUUACGAGCUAUCUCCAGAGCCGUCUCCAAACCAUUCAGAGGAGCUUUUGGGAAGAAGAAUUAGCCAAAUGCCUGAUUUUAUUACUAUUUUAAUCAGAGCCUUUAUUUAAUAAAACAUUACUGCAUUGA
This is an RNA transcript of Salvelinus namaycush (lake trout), 4073 nucleotides long. RefSeq lists it as uncharacterized. The transcript has 3 exons. The record is from RefSeq and is a predicted model, not a curated record. Lineage: Eukaryota; Metazoa; Chordata; Actinopteri; Salmoniformes; Salmonidae.